Molecule: ribosomal RNA, 497 nt
Filed under: uncultured bacterium
Lineage: Bacteria
Description: partial 16S ribosomal RNA
Rfam family: Bacterial small subunit ribosomal RNA
Source: RNAcentral
GAUGAACGCUGGCGGCGUGCCUAAUACAUGCAAGUCGAGCGAACAGACGAGGAGCUUGCUCCUCUGACGUUAGCGGGGGAAGGGUGAGUAACAUGAGGAUACCCUACCUUUAGGACUGGGAUAACUUCGGGAAACCGAUGCUAAAACUGUACAAUUUCUUGAACGGGGGGGUUCAAAAGUGACAGCCGGUUUUGAUGGACCUUCUAGCUGGCACCGCGCGGGUUGAGUAAGUUGGUAAGGUAACGGCUUCCCAAGGCAACGGUGCGUAGCCGACCUGAGAGGGUGAUCGGCCACACUGGAGGUGAGACGCGGUACAGACUCCGACGGGAGGCAGCAGUAGGGAAUCGUCCGCAAUGGGCGAAAGCUUGCCGGAGCAACGCCGGGUGAGUGAUGAAGGUCUUCGGAUCGGAAAACGCUGUUAUUAGUGAAGAACAAAUGUGUAAGUAACUAUGCUCGUCUUGACGGUACCUAAUCAGAAAGCCACGGCUAACUACGUG